This 433-nucleotide ribosomal RNA is filed under the name uncultured bacterium. Its description in RNAcentral is "partial 16S ribosomal RNA". It matches the Rfam family "Bacterial small subunit ribosomal RNA", at positions 29 to 507 of the family's 1533-position model. The record is from RNAcentral.
AACGAACGCUGGCGGCAUGCCUAACACAUGCAAGUCGAACGAAACCUCCGGGCUUUGGGGCGCACGGGUGCGUAACGCGUGGGAACCUGCCCGUAGGUUCGGAAUAACUCCCCGAAAGGGGUGCUAAUACCGGAUAAUGUCUUCGGACCAAAGAUUUAUCGCCUCUGGAUGGGCCCGCGUUAGAUUGGCCAGUUGGUAGGGGAAAAGCCUGCCAAGGCGACGAUCCAUAGCUGGUCUGAGAGGAGGAUCAGCCACACUGGGACUGCGACACGGCCCAGAAUCCUACGGGAGGCAGCAGUAGAGAAUAUUGGAAGAUGGGCGAAAGCCUGAUCCAGCAAAGCCGCGUAAGUGAUGAAGGCCUUAGGAUUGUAAAGCUCUUUUACACGAGAUGAUAAUGACGGUACCGGGAGAAUAAGCGCCGGCUAACUACGUG